UGGGGAAUAUUGCACAAUGGGCGCAAGCCUGAUGCAGCCAUGCCGCGUGUAUGAAGAAGGCCUUCGGGUUGUAAAGCACUUUCAGCGGGGAGGAAGGCGGUGAGGUUAAUAACCUCAUCGAUUGACGUUACCCACAGAAGAAGCACCGGCUAACUCCGUUCCAGCAGCCGCGGUAAUACGGAGGGUGCAAGCGUUAAUCGGAAUUACUGGGCGUAAAGCGCACGCAGGCGGUCUGUCAAGUCGGAUGUGAAAUCCCCGGGCUCAACCUGGGAACUGCAUUCGAAACUGGCAGGCUAGAGUCUUGUAGAGGGGGGUAGAAUUACAGGUGUAGCGGUGAAAUGCGUAGAGAUCUGGAGGAAUACCGGUGGCGAAGGCGGCCCCCUGGACAAAGACUGACGCUGAGGUGCGAAAGCGUGGGGAGCAAACAGG
RNAcentral lists this ribosomal RNA (429 nucleotides) under Chloroflexota bacterium. Its description in RNAcentral is "Chloroflexi bacterium partial 16S ribosomal RNA". It matches the Rfam family "Bacterial small subunit ribosomal RNA", at positions 355 to 776 of the family's 1533-position model. The record is from RNAcentral. Lineage: Bacteria; Bacillati; Chloroflexota.